Molecule: long non-coding RNA, 1762 nt
Organism: Dermochelys coriacea (leatherback sea turtle)
Lineage: Eukaryota; Metazoa; Chordata; Testudines; Dermochelyidae
Exons: 3
Source: RefSeq, a predicted model, not a curated record
UAACCAGCAGGCUCAUAUAAAAGGAGCUGCAGGGCCAGAGUGAGGUCAGACUGCUUGCAGAGACUGGGGACGCAAGAGGUUCUCCUGGCUGGUUGCAGGAGUUGAAAGCGUGGACAGAGCAGCUGCUAGCAGGAGCUGGCUGCAGGAGCUGCAAGGGACUAAGCAGGUAGUUGCUGGAAGUGACUCAGUGGAGAGCUGUGGUUAGUGAACUGAGUCCAAGAUGGAUGGCUCAGUAGGAAGGCUGCAGUAAGUGAGGACUCAAAGGCAAGGAGUCCCCAGGGAAGAAGCCCUCAGUGCACUGCUCAGUUCCAGAGUUGGAGACUUGGAACCUAGCCAGACCAAGCAAGGGUACUGUAAUGGGCCCUGUUGGACUGGUUAAAGACUGAACCCGGUAAGGUGUGCAGAAUAUAUUCUAUUGUGCACCCUGGAAGAUUUUUUGUUUCACAUGUGAACAGUGUGUGACUUAGCCAGAGGGCUGAGUUACAGAAGCCCAGACUGACAAGGCUGACUGCGCACUUGGGAGAGUCCAAGGCCAUGGUUACACUUACCAGGGACUGACGCUGCUGCGAUCAAUGCAGCGGGGGUUGAUUUAGUGGAUCUAGUGAAGAACUGCUAAAUCGACAACCGAGCUCUCACUCCUCUCGUUCCAGUGGAGUACUGGAAUUGAGCAGAAAGGUAAGCAGCUGCUGAAAUUGCCAUGAAGAUGUUAAAGGGAAAGAAAUGUGAGCUGUGUGGUCACAAAUGGAACUUGACCUGGGUCUUGGUAUUGAGAUGUGGGUUAUACUUUGAAAAUCCCCAGAGUAUGGUACUCAUUUUGUGUCCUAAAAUAUUGUGCAGUUUUACUGUGUGCUAUAACAUAGCUAUUGUGUUACAUCCCAAAGCAUUUACUGUGUAUGUAAAGUGACUGAUGGGUAUGCAUAUAAGUACAGUAUGCCCAUCUUUGUGAAUGUGUCAGAUGCUUCUGUAUAAAAGGUGCACUGUGACUGUAAAAUAUUCUACGAUAUGUGUUCUAUGAAUAUUUGUUGGGGGGGUAGUUUGUGACUAACUGGAAGUCUGUCUUGCUCUGUUUUACUGCUGCUUUGUCAGAACAUCAAAUCCUAAUGGAUUCUUCAGAAAGGAACUUCCAGCUUUGCUUCAGAAUUCCUGUGACCUUGAGCAAUCACUUAUUGCCUUGUGCCUCCGUUCCCUCCCACCCCUCUAAAAUAACACUAAUAAUGCUAUUCCCUUGCCAUUUAAACAGGUAAGGUAUACAAUCUGUAAGCUAUUUGGGGCAGGAACUCUCUUAUUCUAUGUAUGAGCCUCAUCUAACAUAGUGGCUCUCAAUAUUGGGUGGGAUCUCUAGGAGCCACUGACACGUGGUAAUUUUUUUAAAAAUUAAAUGUUAUGAAGGGGCACUUCUCAAAUCAGAAUAACAAUAAUGAUUUGCUAGUCUUUCUCCUUAAUGCAGGAAUCAUAUGCUUGCAUCAAAUAGCAUAUUAUCCUUAAAGGUCACUUUUACAUGAAUCUGGGUGCUGUCUCUUGAAACUUAGUCUGUUGAGCCUGUGGAGUGCAAGGAAAACUCCCCUAAUUGGGCAGACACACCAUAGAUCAGUUAUAUGGUAUUUGUUCUCUGAUGUUAUCACUCAUUGAUUCAUGACUGUAUUCUACAAUGUGAUGCUCCUAGAAAGAACCCUGCAUCCACAUGAAGGUCACAUUCAUCGAUUUGCUGGAUUAGGGCCAUCAUUUUCUAUUGUCAGUAGUGAACAUUAGAAUGGGACUGUGU